RNAcentral lists this ribosomal RNA (253 nucleotides) under uncultured prokaryote. RNAcentral describes it as "partial 16S ribosomal RNA". It matches the Rfam family "Bacterial small subunit ribosomal RNA", at positions 524 to 776 of the family's 1533-position model. The record is from RNAcentral.
UACAGAGGUCCCAAGCGUUGUUCGGAUUCACUGGGCGUAAAGGGUGCGUAGGCGGUUGGGUAAGUCUGUCGUGAAAUCUCCGAGCCUAACUCGGAAACUGCGUCGGAUACUAUUCAACUCGAGGGAUGGAGGGGAGACUGGAAUUCUCGGUGUAGCAGUGAAAUGCGUAGAUAUCGUGAGGAAGACCAGUGGCGAAGGCGGGUCUCUGGACAGUUCCUGACACUGAGGCACGAAGGCCAGGGGAGCAAACGGG